AAGCGAAACCGCGAGGUCAAGCAAAUCCCAAAAAUAACGUCCCAGUUCGGACUGUAGUCUGCAACCCGACUACACGAAGCCGGAAUCGCUAGUAAUCGCGAAUCAGAAUGUCGCGGUGAAUACGUUCCCGGGUCUUGUACACACCGCCCGUCACACCAUGGGAGUCGGAAAUGCCCGAAGUCAGUGACCCAACCGCAAGGAGGGAGCUGCCGAAGGCAGGUCCGGUAACUGGGGUGAAGUCGUAACAAGGUACC
This 254-nucleotide ribosomal RNA is filed under the name uncultured bacterium. RNAcentral describes it as "partial 16S ribosomal RNA". It matches the Rfam family "Bacterial small subunit ribosomal RNA", at positions 1247 to 1500 of the family's 1533-position model. The record is from RNAcentral.